UGUAGAAGGCAUUCUCAUUGGCCAAUAUGGUUUUGAAACAUGGAGAGUGGAAACCGAAUACUGCUCUUCGACUGAAUAUAUUUUUGCUCACCAGAAGCACAUAAGGCAUCUUUGUGUAGCUGUGUGAGCAGAACCUAUUUACCAAGGUUCCUAAGCCUUAAGUUUUCAAUUUUUAUGAUGUUAGAGAUGCCAAGUUACUGAAUUCAUUUUCAUGAAAACAGUUUGGCAGAAAUCAGAGGAACAGAAUAUUAUCUGCCAAGCAAGAAAUAUGACAAAGUUGAACAAACCGUCAUUUAAAAAUAUUGUUUAGCAUUGUUUCCCAAUGAACUGGGAGCCCUACAAAUGGUCUCACAACAAUGGCCUUCUUCUCCCCUGUAACAUUCACACCAAUUGUCCAAAUCUGGCGCAGAUUGAUUAGUGAGCAUUUAGUUUUGUAAUAAGCAACUGCAGUCUGGAGCAGAGGUUCUGCCCAGAGCCUCCGCCCUGUGCCUGCUGCGGGUGGUGACAUCCCAUGGGCAGCGCCUUCUGCCUCCAGUACUGUGACAGGGACAUGGAGCUGCACAGGGGACAGAGCAGGGCCUGGGUCUGCUGCACAGAGGAGAGAGGCAAAGGAUAUAGCAGAGGAAGGCAAGCUGGCAUUGCUGGUAGGUAGAUACAGCAUCACAUGUGGUUUGAAGUUAAUUUAUAGUUAGUAGGUUGUUGGUAUUUCCAGUUAUCACAGGUCAGGCUUCCAAGGUAUUCAGGUGGCUAAAGGCACAGCUGCGUGCUUGAUGUCAUUCAUAAGGUGCUCGUGGUGCAAACAAAGAAAUGGGUGGAAAUGACUCUAGAUGCUUAACCUCACAGGGUACAAUAAAUGGCCAACUGAACCUCACGUUGGCAACUUUGACAGGGAGAUGCACGAGGCCGUCCUGCUGUCGCUGGCACCGCUUCUGAUACCCGAUGCGCGUUCUCACCAGGGCCUCAAUCCCCCUGGCAAUUUAAACCAUUCCCAGACAGGGUAGAUGAAGCAAGCAG
RNAcentral lists this long non-coding RNA (1014 nucleotides) under Numida meleagris (helmeted guineafowl). Its description in RNAcentral is "lncRNA (ENSNMEG00000017427.1)". The record is from RNAcentral. Lineage: Eukaryota; Metazoa; Chordata; Aves; Galliformes; Numididae.